This 253-nucleotide ribosomal RNA is filed under the name uncultured bacterium. RNAcentral's name for it is "partial 16S ribosomal RNA". It matches the Rfam family "Bacterial small subunit ribosomal RNA", at positions 524 to 776 of the family's 1533-position model. The record is from RNAcentral. RNAcentral also lists the same sequence under 1 other name.
UACGUAGGCAGCGAGCGUUGUUCGGAGUUACUGGGCGUAAAGGGUGUGUAGGCGGUUCUCUAAGUUUGGUGUGAAAUCUCCCGGCUCAACCGGGAGGGUGCGCCGAAAACUGGAGGGCUAGAGUGCGGGAAGGGAGAGUGGAAUUCCUGGUGUAGCGGUGAAAUGCGUAGAUAUCAGGAGGAACACCGGUGGUGUAGACGGCUCUCUGGACCGCGACUGACGCUGAGACACGAAAGCGUGGGUAGCAAACAGG